CUAGCAUAUCAAUAAGCGGAGGAAAAGAAACCAACAGGGAUUGCUCUAGUAACGGCGAGUGAAGCAGCAAUAGCUCAAAUUUGAAAUCUGGCGUCUUCGGCGUCCGAGUUGUAAUUUGUAGAGGAUGCUUCUGAGUAACCACCGACCUAAGUUCCUUGGAACAGGACGUCAUAGAGGGUGAGAAUCCCGUAUGCGGUCGGAAAGGUGCUCUACACGUAGCUCCUUCGACGAGUCGAGUUGUUUGGGAAUGCAGCUCUAAAUGGGAGGUAAAUUUCUUCUAAAGCUAAAUAUUGGCCAGAGACCGAUAGCGCACAAGUAGAGUGAUCGAAAGAUGAAAAGCACUUUGGAAAGAGAGUUAAAAAGCACGUGAAAUUGUUAAAAGGGAAGGGAUUGCAACCAGACUUGCUCGCGGUGUUCCGCCGGUCUUCUGACCGGUCUACUCGCCGCGUUGCAGGCCAGCAUCGUCUGGUGCCGCUGGAUAAGACUUGAGGAAUGUAGCUCCCUCGGGAGUGUUAUAGCCUCUUGUGAUGCAGCGAGCGCCGGGCGAGGUCCGCGCUUCGGCUAGGAUGCUGGCGUAAUGGUCGUAAUCCGCCCGUCUUGAAACACGGACCAAGGAGUCUAACAUCUAUGCGAGUGUUCGGGUGUCAAACCCCUACGCGUAAUGAAAGUGAACGGAGGUGAGAACCGCAAGGUGCAUCAUCGACCGAUCCUGAUGUCUUCGGAUGGAUUUGAGUAUGAGCAUAGCUGUUGGGACCCGAAAGAUGGUGAACUAUGCCUGAAUAGGGUGAAGCCAGAGGAAACUCUGGUGGAGGCUCGCAGCGGUUCUGACGUGCAAAUCGAUCGUCAAAUUUGGGUAUAGGGGCGAAAGACUAAUCGAACCAUCUAGUAGCUGGUUCCUGCCG
Molecule: ribosomal RNA, 902 nt
Filed under: Cladosporium splattiae
Lineage: Eukaryota; Fungi; Ascomycota; Dothideomycetes; Cladosporiales; Cladosporiaceae
Description: partial large subunit ribosomal RNA
Rfam family: Eukaryotic large subunit ribosomal RNA
Source: RNAcentral